GUCUCUGUAGUAUAUAAAUUACCCUGGUCUUGUAAACCAGAAAAGAAGUAUCACUAACCCUUCCUGAGAC
This 70-nucleotide transfer RNA is filed under the name Tragulus napu (Balabac chevrotain). RNAcentral's name for it is "tRNA-Thr". The record is from RNAcentral. Lineage: Eukaryota; Metazoa; Chordata; Mammalia; Artiodactyla; Tragulidae.